Molecule: transfer RNA, 65 nt
Filed under: Rhombosepion elegans
Lineage: Eukaryota; Metazoa; Mollusca; Cephalopoda; Sepiida; Sepiidae
Description: tRNA-Ser
Source: RNAcentral
GUUCUAUUAUUGGUAUACAGAAAUUUUGAAAAUUUCUUAAAAGUGUUCAACUCACUUAUAGAAUU